ACAUAGGAGAUGACUAGAGAAAGAAAAAUGAGUAUGAAACUCUUAUAUGGGUAGAUUUUGUAAACACAUUGGGGUUUAUUAACAGUUGUGACAAGCAAUUAUGUUUAUAGUAAAGGAAACCCGCCGCAGCGUCAAUAACAAAUGUGCAUGUUUUUUGGUUGUUUGGGAUUGAAAUAGCUUAUGGGUUUUCUAAAUCGAUAUAAUUGAUUU
Molecule: long non-coding RNA, 210 nt
Filed under: Brassica napus (rape)
Lineage: Eukaryota; Viridiplantae; Streptophyta; Magnoliopsida; Brassicales; Brassicaceae
Description: long non-coding RNA (BNAP_LNC020829)
Source: RNAcentral